RNAcentral lists this ribosomal RNA (1346 nucleotides) under uncultured bacterium. Its description in RNAcentral is "partial 16S ribosomal RNA". It matches the Rfam family "Bacterial small subunit ribosomal RNA", at positions 28 to 1381 of the family's 1533-position model. The record is from RNAcentral.
GACGAACGCUGGCGGCGUGCUUAACACAUGCAAGUCGAACGGAAAGGCCCUGCUUUUGUGGGGUGCUCGAGUGGCGAACGGGUGAGUAACACGUGAGUAACCUGCCCUUGACUUUGGGAUAACUUCAGGAAACUGGGGCUAAUACCGGAUAGGAGCUCCUGCUGCAUGGUGGGGGUUGGAAAGUUUCGGCGGUUGGGGAUGGACUCGCGGCUUAUCAGCUUGUUGGUGGGGUAGUGGCUUACCAAGGCUUUGACGGGUAGCCGGCCUGAGAGGGUGACCGGCCACAUUGGGACUGAGAUACGGCCCAGACUCCUACGGGAGGCAGCAGUGGGGAAUAUUGCACAAUGGGCGGAAGCCUGAUGCAGCAACGCCGCGUGCGGGAUGACGGCCUUCGGGUUGUAAACCGCUUUCGCCUGUGACGAAGCGUGAGUGACGGUAAUGGGUAAAGAAGCACCGGCUAACUACGUGCCAGCAGCCGCGGUGAUACGUAGGGUGCGAGCGUUGUCCGGAUUUAUUGGGCGUAAAGGGCUCGUAGGUGGUUGAUCGCGUCGGAAGUGUAAUCUUGGGGCUUAACCCUGAGCGUGCUUUCGAUACGGGUUGACUUGAGGAAGGUAGGGGAGAAUGGAAUUCCUGGUGGAGCGGUGGAAUGCGCAGAUAUCAGGAGGAACACCAGUGGCGAAGGCGGUUCUCUGGGCCUUUCCUGACGCUGAGGAGCGAAAGCGUGGGGAGCGAACAGGCUUAGAUACCCUGGUAGUCCACGCUGUAAACGGUGGGUACUAGGUGUGGGGUCCAUUCCACGGGUUCCGUGCCGUAGCUAACGCUUUAAGUACCCCGCCUGGGGAGUACGGCCGCACGGCUAAAACUCAAAGGAAUUGACGGGGCCCCGCACAAGCGGCGGAGCAUGCGGAUUAAUUCGAUGCAACGCGUAGAACCUUACCUGGGUUUGACAUGGAUCGGGAGUGCUCAGAGAUGGGUGUGCCUCUUUUGGGGUCGGUUCACAGGUGGUGCAUGGCUGUCGUCAGCUCGUGUCGUGAGAUGUUGGGUUAAGUCCCGCAACGAGCGCAACCCUUGUUCACUGUUGCCAGCACGUUAUGGUGGGGACUCAGUGGAGACCGCCGGGGUCAACUCGGAGGAAGGUGGGGAUGACGUCAAGUCAUCAUGCCCCUUAUGUCCAGGGCUUCACGCAUGCUACAAUGGCUGGUACAGGGAGUGGCGAGCCUGUGAGGGUGAGCGAAUCUCGGAAAGCCGGUCUCAGUUCGGAUUGGGGUCUGCAACUCGACCUCAUGAAGUCGGAGUCGCUAGUAAUCGCAGAUCAGCAACGCUGCGGUGAAUACGUUCCCGGGGCU